UUUAAUCACAUAAAAGUACGACAUUAUUUUAGUUAAAUUAUGAGUUUUUUAAAACUACAACUUUAUUCUCAUAAUAUUAUGGCUUUAUUCUCAAAAUAUUACAACUUUAUUCUCAUAAAAUUAUGACUCUUUUUGUAUUCAACUUUAUUCUCAUAAAAUUAUGGGUUUUAUCUCAAUAUUUUACAACUUUAUUCUUGUAUUGACAAGUGUUAUUAUUUUCUUAUGUCGCCCUAAUACACCAU
Molecule: long non-coding RNA, 242 nt
Organism: Sphaeramia orbicularis (orbiculate cardinalfish)
Lineage: Eukaryota; Metazoa; Chordata; Actinopteri; Kurtiformes; Apogonidae
Exons: 3
Source: RefSeq, a predicted model, not a curated record